Molecule: small RNA, 68 nt
Filed under: Bacillus sp. CECT 9360
Lineage: Bacteria; Bacillati; Bacillota; Bacilli; Caryophanales; Bacillaceae
Description: Bacillaceae-1
Rfam family: Bacillaceae-1 RNA
Source: RNAcentral
AAUAGCGGAUCCUCGACUAAAACCUGCCACAUCGUGUGGCAAACGCCGAGGUCAACCCAUCCUGGGCA